Molecule: long non-coding RNA, 3803 nt
Organism: Bombus huntii
Lineage: Eukaryota; Metazoa; Arthropoda; Insecta; Hymenoptera; Apidae
Exons: 2
Source: RefSeq, a predicted model, not a curated record
GCAUGUACAAAUAUAUAUAACUAGAUAUACAGGGUGUCUCGAGCAACUGGACCAGACUAUAAUUCUGAAAUAAUGGAGGGUAGAAAAAAAGUUUCAUUAGGUAAAAUUAAGUAGUUUCGAGUGAAUCACGACCUGAUUUUCAUGAAAUUCAUCAUAUGAAAGAGAAGGAAAUAAAUUAGAAUAAACAUAAGGUUACUGCGUCACAUCUUUCCUUGUCAUUCGUACAGUCAGUUCUGCACUUCAGAAUUAAAGUUAAAAUGUUUUCUAAGCUAAUAAAUUUUCGACGUAAGCAUCAUAAUACUCUCUAAAAAAAUGUUUCUAUUUCCUAGGGGGUCAGAGUUGUAGUUUGACCUCGUUGCAUGAAACACCUUAUAUAUACGUAUAUAUAUAUAUUAUAUAUUACGACAAUGUGUGUAUUUAUGUAGAGUAUAUCAAGAUGAAGAACUGCAUGUCUAAUAUAAUGCGUCUUAACGCGCAUGCGUGCUUCGUCAUUUGUAUAUUUAUCUUUAAACAGAAUGAUCUCGAAAGUUUUUGCAAGGUAAGAAUUCAUAAUAUUAGAUUAAGGUAAAAAUUAGAAAAAAAAGUAAUAUCUUCAAGUUCUUUUAAAUUUUGUACAAUUCCAUCUUCUGUAUAAUAAAUAAAACCUGCAAUAAGGAAGAUGUCGCGCAUUGAAGACGCAACCAUACCUCGUGACGAUUAUUGAUUGCGUUUUGGAACACGCUUAAGUUUAAAUUGUUUGGUAACAAUUUUUAAAAAUCAUUGAAGAUAUUGUUAACGCACUAUUUUGAAUAACAACAGUAUUUUUAUCAAUGCAUCUAAUUUGUGUAAAUUAAUAAAUAUAAUAGUUAUAUUCAAAAUAAUUACAAUUACAAACAAUUAAAACGUAAUUAAGACACUCGUAAAGUUUACUGGCUACAAAUUAAUAUUAUUCAAAUAUAAAUUGGAGCAUAAUUGUCAACGUAGUUAUCAAUGGGAAAAAAGGUUCGUAAUAAAAUUGAAAGUCAUCAUUGGGGAAGUAAGUACUUUUAUCGGUGACUCUCAAAUGUAUGUAAUAAUAAAACUACAUUAGAUAAUGACUAUCAUUUCCUGGCGACACCAUCAAGGUCUCCCUCUGCUCUCGGCACAUCUAUUCAAGCAGAGCGUAUGAUUAAAAAAAAGUUUUUUUACAUUUCUAAUUACUAAAUACGUAAAUAGAAUACGAAAUAUAUGUACAGCGAAUAAUAAAAUUUCUGUCAUAUUUUCAACUGUAAUAAUUUUGUAACUUUGUACUUCAUAAAAAAUUUAUCUCACAAAAACAACAAAUUUUUAAAGUUGAAAUUGACCCAAACAAAGAUACAAAGAUUUAAAGCUUAUAUUGUCUAAGAUAAAAUGGUAUUAUAAAAUUAUAAUCUUGCCUUCCUUCUUAUCUUAUUAAUCUCUAAUCUAAAAAUCUUAUCAGGAUUCAUGGACGAGGAUGGAAAUACUCUUAGGAUUUCGUGCAACUAUAAUUAUUAGAUAGUUUUACAAUUAUUAUAUAUUUUCUAUUAUAAUCAUUUUUAUUUCUUAUAAUUUACUGUUCUUCGUUAUCUCGUAUUUAUAUUUAUAUAUAUAUUUAUAUUUAUAUAUAAAACACAUAGCUAUGAAAUAUUAAGUUGUGUGUAGUGUAGCAAUGCGACUCCAAAUAGUUUAAAAAAUAUCCACUAAAUGCACAUGCAUUAAACUAGAAAAAAGCGAACAGUGUCAUCGAUUUCAUUGUAUGUUUCUUUCUUCUUUUGAUUAAGAUCGUUAAUUACUGCGUUUCGUUCUUCUUGCCUAGGCGUAUACUGCGUUACUCAUGAUCGUAUGUACAAAUUAGUGAAGCGCACAGUACAAUAUAUAGUAAAAAAGAUGAGACGUUUUACAAACGUAUUCCCAACAUGUGCUACUCAGAGGUAUCGUCGAGAGAAAUAUGAUUAUUACCACGUCAAGAAAAAGUGCAUUCCAAGAAAAAUGGAACAAGUCGACGUCGAUUGAAAUGAGUCGCAUUGUAAAUGGACAACAUCUGAACAGAAAAGAGGGCGAGAGCUUUUAGUAAAAAUGAAUAGUUCUUAAAUAAUCGUCACUGAAAAAGAUGGUCAAAAACGCGGUUCUUAAGUUUCAACCUUAAACCAUUCUUACACUCUAUAUGAAACAAAAAACAACCGUGAUAAAUAUUUAAAAAUGUCAAAAGAUAAGACAAAAGGAAAAUAAUAAAGAAUACGAAAGUUAACAAUCGCGUAAAUCGCAACGUGAAUACGAUAUCAGUUAAUAUCAAGCGAGACGCUUCAAAUGGAAUCGAUACCAUUCCCGAUUCUUCUCGUUGAUAAAAGCUCGCUUGAUAAAAACUGCAUCUCACACGCAGAAACAUGUAUAAAGAACAAUUAAAUAUUAUCUCUUCGUUCUAUUCUUAAUUUCGUCGAAUUGUGAUAUUUUGGGAUCGUAUAUAAGAGGAAACUCUUAAAAUUAUUAAACAAUGUGUGUUCCAUUUCUUUUUUUUUAUAAUCCUCCAAUGCGUAUUCCCUUAGGGCGUAGCAUAUAUUUAACAAUUUUUUAAAAGCUAAUUUAUAUUUAUAUUUAUAUAUAAUAUUUAUAUAUUUAUUUAUAUAUUUAUAUAUGUAUUAUGUCCCAAGUUAGUGUGCCGCUUAAAUAUAUAUAUGGCAGUCAUCGAAACGCAAACGAAUCGUUUGCGGAGAAACGCGAAAUUAAAAAAAAAAGAGGUGCUGGGCGAGAGAAAGUGUAUAUACCGGUGUACAGACCUUACAAAUGAACACGUGCAUCGAUUGAGCUGCUUAAAUUGAUAAAACAGGGCAGAUAUCGUGAAUUAAAGAACAACGUUUCUUUCCUUCUUAAGACGAGAGCAACAACGCGUAUCAAGUUACUGCACAAGCUCUAAUAAGAGUUUCUUCUAAAAUAGAAACAUUAUAGCACUCUAAGCUGCUACAAAUUUUUAUCUACGUAGUAUAAAAAGGGCUAGAAGAUACUUUUCAAUUAAACGAGAGUUAUAUCUCAUAAGGCAUUGCUUCUCGAGUUCCUCUUCAACAGCGAACGUCUGUUCAAAAAUGGCAUUUACGCGACUCGUAGAAACAUAGAAAAUUGUUCGAAGCAAUAUUAGCAAAUACAUACUGUAAAAAAUAGAUCACUUAUCGAGCUACGUUUCACUGCUGUUAUUCGAUUCGUUACGUGUCAUUGCUUGAAAAUGUGAUCUACUGGCUUAUCCAGAACAGUCUGAAUUAAUUUUAUAAUCGAAUUCUUAUCUGACUUAUAAUAUGCAGAACUUUUGCAGUAACUGAUAUCAACUAUGAUAUCAACUAAAUAUUACAGACAAACGAAGGAUCGCCUUGGCUACAUUGUAAAAUAAUAUCAAAACGCAAGAUACGCCCACGUAUUAAAUUACAAAAUCUAAAACUUGUACUCAGUAGUUCACUAUGCGAGUAUGCGAGAAAGAUGGGCAAUCAAUUUUGACAAUUAAUAUCCAUGUUCAAGUAAACUCGAUCACGCUAACGUGGGACAUCGAAUGUUUGUAUGUGUUUGUGUGUCACUUUCUCAACUAGCGAUAUAUUGCAAAGUGUCCGAAAAUUCCUUGAAGAAACUAAAAAAAACGCAAUUAAAGACUUCAAAUGGCCUACACGCGCGUGAAAUGUUUUAAAUACAUACAGACAGCUGCUUAAAUAUUUUCUAUUAGUUUCUUUUUUUUUUCUUCGUGAUGAAUAGUUAUCGAAGAUGGUAGGCAUUUUUCGUAAAAUCGACACGGAUCUUAUAAUAAGUCGAGUCUUCCUUCGAUUUUGUUUCUUUCUCGUUUUUUUUUU